UGGGGUAAUUUUUCCGCAAUGGGCGAAAGCCUGACGGAGCAAUGCCGCGUGGAGGUGGAAGGCCUACGGGUCGUCAACUUCUUUUCUCGGAGAAGAAACAAUGACGGUAUCUGAGGAAUAAGCAUCGGCUAACUCUGUGCCAG
This 143-nucleotide ribosomal RNA is filed under the name uncultured bacterium. Its description in RNAcentral is "partial 16S rRNA". It matches the Rfam family "Bacterial small subunit ribosomal RNA", at positions 353 to 511 of the family's 1533-position model. The record is from RNAcentral.